UAUAACUGCUGUUACACUGAAGAAAACAGGAUGAUUCAAAGUACCAAGAUUUAACCAAACAUUUGACCAAACACAAAAUGAUGCUCCUAUUUUCUUUUCUCAUAAUUAUGACUUUGAACACUGAUCUGGUUUCAGGUGCCUCUGUCAGUGACAAAGUCCAACAGACUCCAGCUGACAUUCACAAGAAACAAGAACAAACAGCCAAAAUCUACUGUUCACACAAUAUUGAGAGCUAUUACAUAAUCCUCUGGUACAAGCAGUCAAACAGAGAACUUCAGCUCCUGGGAUACAUGACAGGAGACAGUGAAAAACUAGAGCCUGGAGUGAAGGUGAAGAUUGAAGGGAAUGCAAACAAAGGCCAGAAUUGCACAUUAACAAUUGAAGGACUCCGCACGAACAACAGUGCAGUGUACUUCUGUGCUGCUAGUUACCACAGUGCUACAUAUCACUGCUCCUCAGUACAAAAACCUGCCUAUUUAUCUCUGUAUUAAAACUCACAGCUUCUUGCACCUGGAAUAAACCAUUUUAACCAAUGUUGGUCUCUCUGCUGAUUCAGAUCAGAGAUUAUAAUGGGAGGUUCUUUCUGUGGAGCAAUGCUGUUUAACAUCACACCUCCCAUUAUAAACAGCAGCCUCAGACAUUCAGUAUGUCUGCUGUGGCUGUGUCUCAUUUCAUCAGAAUCAUAAUGACAGCUCCAAUACUCAUCACAUUUGCAGUCUCAUCUCUGUGGCUUCAAGUUCGCUGCCAGGAUGUGACCCAACACCCUGCAAUCAGCUGGAAUUAUGUGUCCAAAUCUGCAGAGAUGAACUGCAGCCACAACAAAGGCAUUACUUAUAACCAGAUGUACUGGUACAGACAGCGUCCAGGAGAGACCAUGACCUUCAUUGUCUACACAGUUUUUAUGGGGCAGCCAGACUAUGGGGGGCUCUCUCAAACCAAAUAUUCAGCUAACAAAGAUACAAUAGAGACGGGGGCUCUUACUGUGAAAAACCUGCAGCCUGAGGACAGUGGAGUGUAUUUCUGUGCUGCUGGUAAACACAGUGACGUGAGACGUAUGAGCAGCUGAACAAAAACUGCCUGCCAAUAAUUUGGCUUAUCAGAUACAAGAUGAUGAGUUUACUAUCUUCCCAGUAGGUGGAGCUGGAGCUCCAGAGAUUUAGAGUCUAUAGUGAGAGGUUUAUUCAGUCGAGCACUCAGUGUUCCAGUAUUGUUCAUUUUACUUUGGCUCAUUGUUAAUCACUUACUCAUUAAGGGGUAUCACUUUAUCUAUAAUUUCUACACUCUUUCUGUCUUUCUUUAAUGUUUGUCUGGGUGUUGAGAUCGACCACACUCCUCCAGCUUUUCUCAGAAAAUCUGGAGACCCGCUGGUCUGCAGCCAUGUAAAGAACAAGUACAUGCUCAAGCAAGUGGAGACACAGCAAAGAAUCACUCUCUGUUAAAAGAAGACCUAUGGUGGACUUAUUGUUUUGAAUGAGAACCUGAACAGACCACUCCCAGCCAGCUGGUCCUGAUUGGAUGCUUUCAUCCCUACGAGACAGUAUACAGUGAUGUUUUCACUGCCCUUUCUUUUUCAAACCUCCCUUUCCUGUUCAAGCCUCUCACUAAAGGUGAGAGUCAGAGUGAUCUGAUGACAGAGCCCAGCAACUUCAAUCCUUCACACUGAGACACAGAUUGGCUUGUUAUCUAAACA
Molecule: long non-coding RNA, 1690 nt
Organism: Lates calcarifer (barramundi perch)
Lineage: Eukaryota; Metazoa; Chordata; Actinopteri; Centropomidae
Exons: 3
Source: RefSeq, a predicted model, not a curated record